AGUGAACGCUGGCGGUAGGCCUAACACAUGCAAGUCGAACGGCAGCACAGUAAGAGCUUGCUCUUACGGGUGGCGAGUGGCGGACGGGUGAGGAAUACAUCGGAAUCUACUUUUUCGUGGGGGAUAACGUAGGGAAACUUACGCUAAUACCGCAUACGACCUACGGGUGAAAGCAGGGGAUCUUCGGACCUUGUGCGAUUGAAUGAGCCGAUGUCGGAUUAGCUAGUUGGCGGGGUAAAGGCCCACCAAGGCGACGAUCCGUAGCUGGUCUGAGAGGAUGAUCAGCCACACUGGAACUGGGACACGGUCCAGACUCCUACGGGAGGCAGCAGUGGGGAAUAUUAGACAAUGGGCGCAAGCCUGAUCCAGCCAUCCCGCGUGGGUGAAGAAAGCCUUCGGGUUGUAAAGCCCUUUUGUUGGGAAAGAAAAGCAGCAGGUUGAUACCCCGCUGUUCUGACGGUACCCAAAGAAUAAGCACCGGCUAACUUCGUG
This 492-nucleotide ribosomal RNA is filed under the name uncultured bacterium. RNAcentral's name for it is "partial 16S ribosomal RNA". It matches the Rfam family "Bacterial small subunit ribosomal RNA", at positions 29 to 507 of the family's 1533-position model. The record is from RNAcentral.